UGACACUGAACAUUGAGCCUUGAUGUGUAGGAUAGGUGGGAGGCUUUGAAGUGUGGACGCCAGUCUGCAUGGAGCCGACCUUGAAAUACCACCCUUUAAUGUUUGAUGUUCUAACGUUGACCCGUGAUCCGGGUUGCGGACAGUGUCUGGUGGGUAGUUUGACUGGGGCGGUCUCCUCCUAAAGAGUAACGGAGGAGCACGAAGGUU
RNAcentral lists this ribosomal RNA (207 nucleotides) under Escherichia coli. RNAcentral's name for it is "partial 23S ribosomal RNA". It matches the Rfam family "Bacterial large subunit ribosomal RNA", at positions 2112 to 2318 of the family's 2925-position model. Lineage: Bacteria; Pseudomonadati; Pseudomonadota; Gammaproteobacteria; Enterobacterales; Enterobacteriaceae. The record is from RNAcentral.